Molecule: ribosomal RNA, 253 nt
Filed under: uncultured bacterium
Lineage: Bacteria
Description: partial 16S ribosomal RNA
Rfam family: Bacterial small subunit ribosomal RNA
Source: RNAcentral
GACAGAGGUCUCAAGCGUUAGGCGGAAUCACUGGGCUUAAAGCGUGUGUAGGCGGAUCGUUAAGUGCCUUGUGAAAUCCCACAGCUCAACUGUGGAACUGCUUGGCAUACUGGCGGUCUUGAGCCAUCUAGGGGUCGCUGGAACAAACGGUGGAGCGGUGAAAUGCGUAGAUAUCGUUUGGAACGCCAAUGGUGAAAACAGGCGACUGGGGGUGUGCUGACGCUGAGACACGAAAGCCAGGGGAGCAAACGGG